CUACGGGGGGCAGCAGUGGGGAAUAUUGCACAAUGGGCGCAAGCCUGAUGCAGCCAUGCCGCGUGAAUGAUGAAGGCCUUAGGGUUGUAAAAUUCUUUCGCUAGGGAUGAUAAUGACAGUACCUAGUAAAGAAGCCCCGGCUAACUUCGUGCCAGCAGCCGCGGUAAUACGAAGGGGGCUAGCGUUGUUCGGAAUUACUGGGCGUAAAGCGCACGUAGGCGGACUUUUAAGUCAGGUGUGAAAUCCCAAGGCUCAACCUUGGAACUGCAUUUGAAACUGGGAGUCUGGAGAUCAGGAGAGGUUAGCGGAAUACCGAGUGUAGAGGUGAAAUUCGUAGAUAUUCGGUGGAACACCAGUGGCGAAGGCGGCUAACUGGACUGAUACUGACGCUGAGGUGCGAAAGUGUGGGGAGCAAACAGGAUUAGAUACCCGCGUAGUC
This 439-nucleotide ribosomal RNA is filed under the name uncultured bacterium. Its description in RNAcentral is "partial 16S ribosomal RNA". It matches the Rfam family "Bacterial small subunit ribosomal RNA", at positions 339 to 795 of the family's 1533-position model. The record is from RNAcentral.